This 69-nucleotide transfer RNA is filed under the name Ictidomys tridecemlineatus (thirteen-lined ground squirrel). Its description in RNAcentral is "Spermophilus tridecemlineatus (thirteen-lined ground squirrel) tRNA". It matches the Rfam family "tRNA". Rfam says of the family: Transfer RNA (tRNA) molecules are approximately 80 nucleotides in length. Their secondary structure includes four short double-helical elements and three loops (D, anti-codon, and T loops). Lineage: Eukaryota; Metazoa; Chordata; Mammalia; Rodentia; Sciuridae. The record is from Rfam by way of RNAcentral.
GGAGUUGUGGCUCAGUGGUAGAGUGCUUGUCUAGCAGGCAUGAGGCACUGGGUUCAAUCCUCAGCACCA